This 331-nucleotide ribosomal RNA is filed under the name uncultured eukaryote. RNAcentral's name for it is "partial 18S ribosomal RNA". It matches the Rfam family "Eukaryotic small subunit ribosomal RNA", at positions 1470 to 1796 of the family's 1831-position model. The record is from RNAcentral.
CCCUUAGAUGUUCUGGGCUGCACGCGCGCUACACUGAUGCAUCCAGCGAGUUGUAACCUUGCUUGGUAAAGUUUGGUAAUCUGAGCCUAAUGUGCAUCGUGAUGGGGAUAGAUUAUUGCAACUAUUAAUCUUCAACGAGGAAUACCUAGUAGGCGUGUGUCAUCAGCGCGCGUCGAUUACGUCCCUGCCCUUUGUACACACCGCCCGUCGCUCCUACCGAUUGAAUGAUCCGGUGAGGCCCCCGGAUUGUGGCAAUGGCUCUGGUUCGCCAGACCAAUGCUGCGAGAAGCUGUCCAAACCUUAUCAUUUAGAGGAAGGAGAANUCGUAACA